UCAAGGUGCAAACAUGAUGAUACCUUAUGCUCUUCUUCUGCUGUUGUUCAUAAAAAGUGACACAUUGGCACAGUCAAUAACACCACAGGAAAACAAGACACUUGCAACUGUGGGGCAAAAAGUCACCCUGUCCUGCAAAUAUGAAGGAAGUAUAAAUAACCUGCACUGGUAUCGCCAAUAUCCCAGAUCCAAACCAGAGUUCCUGGCUUGGAUUUACCCACAAGGUACUACAAGUGACCCACUUCCUCCCCGAAUUAUACCAAGAGUGGACAAAAAUCUUGUGAGUCUGGAGAUCUCUGAUGCUGAAGUAACAGAUUCUGCUCUGUACUACUGCGCACUGACGCCCACAAUGACAGGAAACUCAACUACAGUUUUUUCUGACUAUGGACGUACAGAUUAUCUUCACUGGUAUCGUCAGUAUGGAAGAUCAAAACCUGAAUUUCUUGUACUCACCUACAGUAGUGCAAAAGGAGCUAAAGAGUCUGAUGUAGAUCCAAGAUUCACUGUUAACAUUACAGAAAGGGAACGUGUGGAUCUGAUCAUCUCUGAUCAUCUCUGA
Molecule: non-coding RNA, 559 nt
Organism: Carassius auratus (goldfish)
Lineage: Eukaryota; Metazoa; Chordata; Actinopteri; Cypriniformes; Cyprinidae
Source: the annotation of a RefSeq genome assembly